Non-coding RNA from Termitomyces sp. Mi166#008, 83 nucleotides. Lineage: Eukaryota; Fungi; Basidiomycota; Agaricomycetes; Agaricales; Lyophyllaceae. The record is from the annotation of a GenBank genome assembly.
GGGGGCAUAGCUCAGUUGGGAGAGCAGCAGACUGAAGGUUUCUUGCUUUCUGAAGGUCCCGCGUUCAAUCCGCGGUGCCCCCA